AACGCGAAGAACCUUACCAGGGCUUGACAUCCCUUUGAAGCAGCUAGAGAUAGCUGUUGUCCCUUCGGGGACAAGGAGACAGGUGGUGCAUGGUUGUCGUCAGCUCGUGUCGUGAGAUGUUGGUUAAGUCCGCAACGAGCGCAACCCCUACUUGUUAGUUGCCAUCAUUCAGUUGGGCACUCUAGCGAGACUGCCGGUAAUAAACCGGAGGAAGGUGGGAUGACGUCAAAUCAUCAUGCCCCUUAUGACCUGGGCUACACACGUGCUACAAUGGUUGGUACAACGAGUUGCGAGUCGGUGACGGCGAGCUAAUCUACUUAAAGCCAAUCUCAGUUCGGAUUGUAGGCUGCAACUCGCCUACAUGAAGUCGGAAUCGCUAGUAAUCGUGGAUCAGCAUGCCACGGUCGAAUACGUUCCCGGGCCUU
Molecule: ribosomal RNA, 425 nt
Filed under: uncultured Streptococcus sp.
Lineage: Bacteria; Bacillati; Bacillota; Bacilli; Lactobacillales; Streptococcaceae
Description: bacterial SSU rRNA
Rfam family: Bacterial small subunit ribosomal RNA
Source: RNAcentral